Molecule: ribosomal RNA, 266 nt
Filed under: uncultured bacterium
Lineage: Bacteria
Description: partial 16S ribosomal RNA
Rfam family: Bacterial small subunit ribosomal RNA
Source: RNAcentral
UACGGAGGGUGCAAGCGUUAUCCGGAUUCACUGGGUUUAAAGGGAGCGUAGGUGGGCUUGUAAGUCAGUGGUGAAAUCUCCGUGCUUAACACGGAAACUGCCAUUGAUACUAUAGGUCUUGAAUGUUCUGGAGGUUAGCGGAAUAUGUCAUGUAGCGGUGAAAUGCUUAGAUAUGACAUAGAACACCAAAUUGCGAAGGCAGCUAACUACAGGGUAUUUGACACUGAGGGCUACGAAAGGCAGUGGGGGAUCAAACAACGAUAGAA